UACGUAGGGGGCUAGCGUUGUCCGGAUUCAUUGGGCGUAAAGAGCGUGUAGGCGGCCAGGUAGGUCAGCUGUGAAAACUGGAGGCUCAACCUUCAGACGUCGGCUGAAACCAUCUGGCUAGAGUCCGGGAGAGGAGAGUGGAAUUCCUGGUGUAGCGGUGAAAUGCGCAGAUAUCGGGAAGAACACCCGUGGCGAAGGCGGUUCUCUGGGACGGUACUGACGCUGAGACGCGAAAGCGUGGGGAGCGAACAGG
Molecule: ribosomal RNA, 253 nt
Filed under: uncultured bacterium
Lineage: Bacteria
Description: partial 16S ribosomal RNA
Rfam family: Bacterial small subunit ribosomal RNA
Source: RNAcentral